AUUGAACGCUGGCGGCAGGCCUAACACAUGCAAGUCGAACGGUAACAGGAAGAAGCUUGCUUCUUUGCUGACGAGUGGCGGACGGGUGAGUAAUGUCUGGGAAACUGCCUGAUGGAGGGGGAUAACUACUGGAAACGGUAGCUAAUACCGCAUAACGUCGCAAGACCAAAGGGGGGGACCUUCGGGCCUCAUGCCAUCAGAUGUGCCCAGAUGGGAUUAGCUGGUAGGUGGGGUAACGGCUCACCUAGGCGACGAUCCCUAGCUGGUCUGAGAGGAUGACCAGCCACACUGGAACUGAGACACGGUCCAGACUCCUACGGGAGGGAGCAGUGGGGAAUAUUGCACAAUGGGCGCAAGCCUGAUGCAGCCAUGCCGCGUGUGAAGAAGGCCUUCGGGUUGUAAAGCACUUUCAGCGGGGAGGAAGGCGGUGAGGUUAAUAACCUCACUGAUUGACGUUACCCGCAGAAGAAGCACCGGCUAACUACGUGCCAGCCGCCGCGGUAA
Molecule: ribosomal RNA, 504 nt
Filed under: uncultured bacterium
Lineage: Bacteria
Description: partial 16S ribosomal RNA
Rfam family: Bacterial small subunit ribosomal RNA
Source: RNAcentral